AUCCAUUUUAUGUUACAUUUAUGUCUAUUCCGCUUCCUUUCUUUCUUUAGACCUCAAUCUCUGUACAAAGACCUUAAUCUCUGAUGUGGAACUUCGUCAAAUGCUGUCUGGAAGUCUGAAGGCAGGCUGCCCACCGCGGGAAGUCACAAGUCCUCCAAAAGCAGAGGUACGGCUGGGCUGGGGACAUACUGCGGGCCUGCUUUUGCAAAGGUUUCCAGGCAAGGCCAGGCUGCAGCGAGCAAGCUCCUGUGUGUGCUCACAAACACACCUGCUCUGUGCAUUAUUUCCCAUUAAUGCAAAUCACCUUCCACCCAAUGCAAUUUCUUCUGCUGCGAAAGUAUGACAGUUGUGAACAAAAUAGCUCAGCUAAAAUUGAUUGUAGAAGGGACUUUGGCCCCUGUGUUAGACCACAUAUAGAAAUCUGGCCGUGAUCUUGCCUUAAAUAUGAAACAGAAUAACAACAGCAACUUACUCCUUCUCCACAUGGUCUGUUUAUUUAUUUAUUUCUUUUUUUCAAACAGGUUGUUGCUAAAUAACCAAAUCUAUUAAAAAUGCAAGUUGAUUUCAGCAUUACCAGACCCACAUUGUUUUGUGGGACAGUUUUGCUUUAUGAAUGCUAUUUACCUAGUCCAGCUUUUUCUUCCUCCCCUAAGGUUUUCCAAGGGAACACAAAGAUAGAAAUUUUAUACCAAAUGGAACUGUUGGACAGGAGGUAUUCAAGUGGAUCACCCGAUGAAUACUUGAAGCAUCUACUGCAGAAGACCUCAAUAAUGCAUAAGAACAUCUGGAAGUACGGUAAUUUCAGCUAUCAGAGAUAAGAAUUGACACAAAACAGGUAAACCCUACAAAGUCAUCAUGUUGAAAUGAGCUGAUUAAGGUCUGGUAACAUAAAACAUCAUGUAUAGUGUUUUCAUGCUUGCUACAUCUUCCCAUUUUAUAUAUAAAAAAGGAAUGCCAAUUAUUUAAUCCUUUUCAGUGUAUUUAAUAGGUUGAUUAGCUGGAAACUAUAUUAUAUUUUUACAUAAAGAGACAGAAGUGACUGCAAAUCUAUCGCCAUAUACAUCUAUUUAGAGUUAACUGUGAGUUCAUAGAAAAUACAUGGGCAUAGUAAACAGGGUUUUGAAAUGACAAUUUUUUACUGGUUGCAAGUGCUAAUUGCUAGUUUCUCAAGGGUAUAGAAUUAAUCACCUGCUAGAUUUACAGUCUCUAGGUUGAGACCUGAGGAUGGAGGCAAUAAGAAAAGCUCUUGAGGGACAUAUCAUAUGGUGAGUCUAAAUAUCAGUCUCUAUGCAUAUGUAAAUUGGCAACAAAGUUUUUUCAAAGCUCAAGUAUGCUAAUUUCAAACAGGCAAGACUAAAGCUAGCUUUUAGCAGCUGUUUAACGUCUGCCUGUGGGUGGUAGAGAGAGCUUAAAAUACAAGCAAACAGUGGUGCAUAAGUAAUUAAGCAACAUUUUGCUGGGCAUAAAUAAUUCUGUUUAUAUUGCUCUUUGAAGAGUAUAGAAUACAAAAUAACAGAUCAAGUGCACCUUUGGUCACCAGAGGUUAACUGUUCUUCCUCUUUACCUUUUCUUCGGUUCCACAUUUUUUAGGGGAGAAUUAAAUGAGGGUCAAUGCUGUUCUCCGUCAUUUGUAUAUUAAAGAAGUUCAUUUAACGCUGCAGCAAAACAAACGCUUAAAAGUUUUUAACGUGCCAUUUUGGCAGUUCAAUAGCUGUUCUCAGAUAAUUUCACUUCCUAGAAUAAACUUUCCUUAUGCUGUAAAGUGGGUCUGAAA
Long non-coding RNA from Anser cygnoides (Swan goose), 1774 nucleotides. The record is from Ensembl. NCBI's taxonomy places the organism in Eukaryota, Metazoa, Chordata, Aves, Anseriformes, Anatidae.